GACGAACGCUGGCGGCGUGCUUAACACAUGCAAGUCGAACGGAAAGGCCCUGCUUUUGUGGGGUGCUCGAGUGGCGAACGGGUGAGUAACACGUGAGUAACCUGCCCUUGACUUUGGGAUAACUUCAGGAAACUGGGGCUAAUACCGGAUAGGAGCUCCUGCUGCAUGGUGGGGGUUGGAAAGUUUCGGCGGUUGGGGAUGGACUCGCGGCUUAUCAGCUUGUUGGUGGGGUAGUGGCUUACCAAGGCUUUGACGGGUAGCCGGCCUGAGAGGGUGACCGGCCACAUUGGGACUGAGAUACGGCCCAGACUCCUACGGGAGGCAGCAGUGGGGAAUAUUGCACAAUGGGCGGAAGCCUGAUGCAGCAACUCCGCGUGCGGGAUGACGGCCUUCGGGUUGUAAACCGCUUUCGCCUGCGACGAAGCGUGAGUGACGGUAAUGGGUAAAGAAGCACCGGCUAACUACGUG
RNAcentral lists this ribosomal RNA (468 nucleotides) under uncultured bacterium. RNAcentral describes it as "partial 16S ribosomal RNA". It matches the Rfam family "Bacterial small subunit ribosomal RNA", at positions 28 to 507 of the family's 1533-position model. The record is from RNAcentral.